UGAGUAGCACAGAUGGUCGCGCCUAUUCGUAGGUGAGGAAAGUCCGGGCUUCAUAGGGCAGGGUGCCGGAUAACGUCCGGUGGAGGCGACUCCAAGGCUAGUGCAACAGAAAUAUACCGCCUGUAAACAAUGCCUGAACCAUCAGGCACAGGUACAGGUAAGGAUGGAAAGGUGGCUUAAGAGACCACCGCUCUUCUGGUAACAGGAGAGGCUAUGUAAACCCCACCCGAAGCAAGACCGAACAUAAGGCGAUACGGUUGCCCGCCGUGCCUUAGGGUAGGUCGCGUAGUAUCCGCAAAAGCGGAACUGGAGCCACAUGGUAACAUGUGGUCAAGAUAGAUGACCAUCCACGACAGAACCCGGCUUACCGUGCUGCUCAUACA
Molecule: RNase P RNA, 383 nt
Filed under: Clostridiales bacterium
Lineage: Bacteria; Bacillati; Bacillota; Clostridia; Eubacteriales
Description: RNase P RNA component class A
Rfam family: Bacterial RNase P class A
About the family: Ribonuclease P (RNase P) is a ubiquitous endoribonuclease, found in archaea, bacteria and eukarya as well as chloroplasts and mitochondria.
Source: RNAcentral